This 21-nucleotide unclassified non-coding RNA is filed under the name Chlamydomonas reinhardtii. RNAcentral describes it as "small RNA Cre_2124". The record is from RNAcentral. Lineage: Eukaryota; Viridiplantae; Chlorophyta; Chlorophyceae; Chlamydomonadales; Chlamydomonadaceae.
UAAAUCCAAGAACAAGCAUGC